GAUGAACGCUGGCGGCGUGCUUAACACAUGCAAGUCGAACGGAAAGGCCCUGCUUGCAUGGUACUAGAGUGGCGAACGGGUGAGUAACACGGGGGUGAUCUGCCCUGUACUUUGGGAUAAGCGUGGGAAACUGGGUCUAAUACCGAAUAUGACAAUUGUUUGGAUGCGAUUGUGGAGAGCUUUUGCGGUAUGGGAUGAGCUCGCGGCCUAUCAGCUCGUUGGUGGGGUAAUGGCCUACCAAGGCGUCGACGGGGAGCCGGCAUGCGAGGGUGUAGGGCCACAUCGGACCUGUGAUACAGGCAACAGUGCUGAGGGAGGCAGCAGUGGGGAAUAUUGAACACUGGCCGAACGCCUGAUGCAGGAACGCCGCGUGGGGGAUGAGGGCCUUCGGGUUGUAAGAUACUCACGAAGCCGACGAAGCCUUUUGGUGACGGUAGGUAGAGAAGAAGCACCGGCUAACUACGUG
RNAcentral lists this ribosomal RNA (466 nucleotides) under uncultured bacterium. Its description in RNAcentral is "partial 16S ribosomal RNA". It matches the Rfam family "Bacterial small subunit ribosomal RNA", at positions 28 to 507 of the family's 1533-position model. The record is from RNAcentral.